UACGGAGGGAGCUAGCGUUGUUCGGAAUUACUGGGCGUAAAGCGCGCGUAGGCGGCUUUGUAAGUUAGAGGUGAAAGCCUGGAGCUCAACUUCAGAAUUGCCUUUAAGACUGCAUCGCUUGAAUCCGGGAGAGGUGAGUGGAAUUCCGAGUGUAGAGGUGAAAUUCGUAGAUAUUCGGAAGAACACCAGUGGCGAAGGCGACUCACUGGACACAUAUUGACGCUGAGGUGCGAAAGCGUGGGGAGCAAACAGG
RNAcentral lists this ribosomal RNA (253 nucleotides) under uncultured bacterium. Its description in RNAcentral is "partial 16S ribosomal RNA". It matches the Rfam family "Bacterial small subunit ribosomal RNA", at positions 524 to 776 of the family's 1533-position model. The record is from RNAcentral.